GAAGGUUUAGCUCGAUGCUCGGUUCAAGUGGUGUGCUCCAGAUCUCGUCUCUUCAGAUGGGACUUGGCAAACAAAACUUCCUCUGUGAAAUAAAGGAUUCAGGCUCCUACCAUGUGCGAGAGACCUCCUGAAAGACUCUUUCAUAUGGAGCCAAAGAGACUAGAGAGUGUCAGAGUUUUAAAGACAAAAUACUGCUGUCAGAAAGGUAUACAGACUUCAUACAGGAGGGACCCUUCACACAUUGGCAGCCUUUGAAUUCAGCUUUUAAAUAAAAGAUUUGUCUUCAGACAGAAAAAGUGAUGCCUUUUAUGAAUAAUAAGGCAUAAAGCAAUUUUUUUUUUUUUGGAUGAAACUGCCAUUCAGUGUAAAAUAAGCUGGCUCUUGAUUUAUUGAAAAGCCAAACUCAUAUUUCACCUUGGGGAAAUAACACAUCAUCCAGCUCACCAGUUUGCAGAUGCCUGAGAGACGUGGGUGUUGGUGCUGCCAAGGUUGGGAUUAGCUUUUGUGUCACAGGCCAGUCUGAGGGAAUAUAGUUCAUGUCUUGGACUACAGCUCUUAUCGGAGAUGAUGGGACGGAAGCUGAUGCAUGCAAAGAAGACUUAACAGGAUGUUGAACUCUUCCCAUGAUCACAAGGUUUUGUCUUUGAUAGACCUGAAGGGUUUUGACCCCAAGGAAGUUACCAUAACAGUGAAAGACAGG
Harpia harpyja (harpy eagle) is the source of this 700-nucleotide RNA transcript. It is a transcript of the gene named outer dense fiber of sperm tails 1, with no coding region annotated. The transcript is spliced from 2 exons. The record is from RefSeq and is a predicted model, not a curated record. NCBI's taxonomy places the organism in Eukaryota, Metazoa, Chordata, Aves, Accipitriformes, Accipitridae.